RNAcentral lists this unclassified non-coding RNA (147 nucleotides) under fungal sp. RNAcentral's name for it is "partial internal transcribed spacer region". The stretch from base 1 to 46 matches the Rfam family "Eukaryotic small subunit ribosomal RNA", at positions 1786 to 1831 of the family's 1831-position model. Lineage: Eukaryota; Fungi. The record is from RNAcentral.
AAGUCGUAACAAGGUUUCCGUAGGUGAACCUGCGGAAGGAUCAUUAAAAAUAUUACUUAUACACCGUCUUAUUUUAAACAAAAACUUUUGAUUAAUUUCUACCUUUUAAUUUUAUUAAAACUUUCAACAACGGAUCUCUUGGUUCUC